CUGUACUUUUUCUGUUGAAGAACUCCGGGCCACUUAUUGCAACAAGCUCCCUAGAAAAAUUUACAGCGGCUACAUACCCCGCGUCUCGAAUAUAGCUGGUUUCUUUAGAUUAUUAUCUCAGUAAAGCAAUUACAACUAAUAUGUUAAUAUAUAAAGGACAAGCUUUAUAUAGCAAGCCAUAGCCGCAUUAACUUAUAGCUAAUAGUAGGCUUAUAAGUAGCCACCAAAUUAUAGUGUCACAACUAAUCUUAAUGUAAGAAUAAUUAUUUAACCUAUGCAACAUAUAUAAAGAAAUUUAGACUAACUUCCUCUAAAAUUAUUCUGCUAAAAUUAGUAUUCAUUAAUUUAAAAUAUAACCUCUUAAAAUAAAUAACUUUUAUUAAAUCUAUAUCUUUUCAAGAAACUCGGCAAAUUCUAAUCUCAACUGUUUAUCAAAAACAUUGCCUUCUGGUCACCCAUAGAAGGUACAUCCUGCCCAGUGAAAAUUUUAAACGGCCGCGGUACCCUGACCGUGGCAAAGGUA
RNAcentral lists this ribosomal RNA (523 nucleotides) under Nephtys hombergii. RNAcentral's name for it is "partial 16S ribosomal RNA". The record is from RNAcentral. Lineage: Eukaryota; Metazoa; Annelida; Polychaeta; Phyllodocida; Nephtyidae.